UACGUAGGGUGCGAGCGUUGUCCGGAAUUAUUGGGCGUAAAGAGCUCGUAGGCGGUGUGUCACGUCGGCCGUGAAAACCUGCAGCUUAACUGUGGGCGUGCGGUCGAUACGGGCAUCACUGGAGUUCGGCAGGGGAGACUGGAAUUCCUGGUGUAGCGGUGAAAUGCGCAGAUAUCAGGAGGAAUACCGAUGGCGAAGGCAGGUCUCUGGGCUAUAACUGACGCUCAUGCACGAAAGCGUGGGGAGCAAACAGG
RNAcentral lists this ribosomal RNA (254 nucleotides) under uncultured bacterium. Its description in RNAcentral is "partial 16S ribosomal RNA". It matches the Rfam family "Bacterial small subunit ribosomal RNA", at positions 524 to 776 of the family's 1533-position model. The record is from RNAcentral.